Mus musculus (house mouse) is the source of this 3900-nucleotide long non-coding RNA. RefSeq annotates it as predicted gene, 40623. Lineage: Eukaryota; Metazoa; Chordata; Mammalia; Rodentia; Muridae. The transcript is spliced from 8 exons. The record is from RefSeq and is a predicted model, not a curated record.
GCUCCUCCCCACAGUUACUGGGCAACAGCCAGAACCACCAAGGUACUAGAGAACUUUAUGAAAAAACAGUGAUGACUACAGAACAAUUACUAACAGCCCCAGUGCUCUUUUCUACUGGAAAAUCCCAGCAUGCAGCUAUACAGCACCUCUGCUGGACUUCUUACCGCCUACAGUGAAUAGUAUCAGAGCACUUGAAUACUCACAGUUCUGUGUAAACCUCAGAUUGUAACACAGCUAGGACACAUCCAGGAUCUUCCAGGAUUACACUGUAGCUGUCUUCAGACACUCCAGAAGAGGGAAUCAGAUUUCAUUACGAGAUGGUUGUGAGCCACCAUGUGGAUGCUGGGAAUUGAACUCAAGACCUUCGGAAGACAGGUUUUGUCUGGAGGCCAACAGGGAGAAAGCAGAUGCCCAUUUUGUCACUUGGCCAGGUGACAACAAAGGAUGCUCCUGACCCCUACCAGAACUUGGAGAACUUUCGAGUUCUCAUCAGGAUGCUGAACUGGCUGUGGGUAUAUGGGCCUCCCAUGAACAGGGAGGAUGGCAGUCUUAGACAGCCUUUAGGUUUGUUCCCUGCCUGCCACUCCUCACCCCCCAAGGGAAGUUCUGUGUCUGUGUGUAUCCUUUUUGUGCUUUUUGUCUUCUCUUAUAUCUUUUCUAUGAUUCCUAGGAUGGGACAGGCACAAAGCACUCCCUACUGGGCUUGGUCCUGAACCAUUUUAAGGACUUUUGUAGAUUCACAGAAGACUCCCAGCUGAUAAUUUGUUCUAGCAAACUAAUUUUUUUUAAAGGAAUGAAUGGCCCACCUAUAAAGUAGGAUGGCCUGAGGGGGGUUGACUUUAAAUUUUCUCAUCAGUUACAGGGCAAAGAUUUAGUUUAUGAGGCCUGGGGCCUCCCAGACCAAGUGCUAUGGACCUCCCCACUCCCUAGCCUUCCAAUAAAGGAAGGUCAGUCUUGGCCCCCUUUCUGCUCCUGAAGAGGAUCUAUGUACACCUCCUUAUGUUUCUGCUCCAGCAGCCACUGCCCCUAACCAGCCAGUACAGGCAGAGGGAGGAACAGACCCUGACUCCUCUUGAUUCCACUUGCAGUUUACCACAAUUGAACUCUGGCCCAUACUGCCCAGAAGGCCAACUCUACUAAGUCAUUACUCCUGUGGGCUAAAGGGAUGCCCAGAUGCUCAGAAAAGACAAUUCAUGACAUAUGUGCCAUUUGCCAGUAAAAAUCCUUACAAUUGGAAUUUGCAGAAGUCCCCACUUUUAGAAAGACUAUCAGUUCUCACAGGUCUAGAUUCAAUUAUGCUGACUCACCAGCUCACAUGAAAUGAUUGUUGAAAACUAUUCCAGACCCUCUGCAUGACAGAGGAGAGAGAGAGAGAAUCAUGGGAGCUGCUCAGAAAUUGGAUCUGGGAGCAAAUGGACUGCUCACUGGUAUCCAGUCUGACUUCUAUGCAGUUUUUCCUUUGACUCAACCCGAUGGGGAUUUUAACACUGGUGAAGGUAAAGAAAUGCUCCAAGUCUACUGCCAGAUUCUGAUUGGGAUGCCACCAAGAGGCCACAAGAGAGAACACAAAUUUAUCUAAGGUAAGCCAGAUGAUGCAAAGAAACAGAGAGCCUCAGGGAACAUCUAGAAAGACUUUUAGCAGCCUAUUGAAAUACACUCCUUUUGACCCAGAAGCCAGAGAGCACCAGUUCACAGUGAAUAUGACUUUUAUUAACUAAGCUGCCCCUGACACCCAUUGAGAGCUUCAGCCACUGAACAGCUUUGCAGCAUGUCUCUGGCACUCAGAAGCCAGCCCCUAUUUGCCUUUGAAUGGCAAGACUUGGAGAAAGGAUUCAAAAGACAACUGACUUAGACAUCAAGGAUUCAAGAACUCAAGAUACUCUAUGAGGACUUGGGUGAGUAUUGAUUGGUCCACCUCCAAAUAAUUUUGUUCCAGUAUGUAUUGUGUUCCCCCAACUUGGGACAUGCCAGAAGGCCACAUGAGACCUACUCUAGGAGCUUAGUCAAUUUGGCUAGAGAGUAUCUGCUAAGAAAGCUGAGUGUUGUCAAUUUGAGGUCAGAGAUUCUGGCUGAAGUCUAAAGAGAUUCUGACACAAGGCCCUCGGUGUUACAUAUCACGUACAUCCCACAGUCACAGCUGUUCUGUUGAUCUGGGGCUUUCUCUUACACAAAGACCAGUUUGUCUCCUUUGCUCCUUAAGAAAGCCUCCAUUUUCUCUGCUACCUGCUUUGAACGGAUUGAGUUGCUCCUGCUAUGGGAAUCCUAAUGGAAGAAGCUAUUUUUAUCUUGGUGAUAAACCAAUAAACUCCAGUGGGUACCUCCAGCUGCCUGGUUAGAAUUAUCAUUGAUGGCUAAAAAUACCACUCUUUUGUGGGGAAGAUCCAGAGGUUCAAAGAACAUGGCAAUUUCUGCAGGAUUGCUGGUGCACUUAAUGAACUGGGUGACUUCAGGGCUGAUGAAGGUACAUAUUGGGGUACAUAUUCAAGGGGGCCUGCCAAGACAUGCUGUCAGAUGCCCCGGAAGCAAACCAUCCUUAGCCUCCCAGUUCCAUCAACCCAAAGGCAAGUAUGGAAAUUUCUGGGGUCUGCUGGGUUUUAUAGACUUUGGGUGCUAGGGUUCACUGAGAUAGCCAAACCAUUAUAUGAGACCACCAUGGGCGAAGAAGAGAAUAGACCCUUGAGAUACACACGGCUUUUAAGACUCUAGGAAAGCCUUAUUGGAGGCAUGGGCCUUUGCCUUCCUGAACAUUCACAAACGUUUCCACCUGUAUGUGAGAGAAAGGGCAAAGAGAAUGGUCACCCAAACUUUGAGACUUUGGAAAAGACCUGCGGCUUAUUUAUCUAAAAAGCUGGACCCAGUGGCCCAAAGAUGGCCAGCCUGCAUCUGAAUCAGAAUUGCCACUAUCCUGCUAAUCAAGAAUGCAGACAACAUAACAAUGGGGCAGGAACUUGUUAUCACCAUCCCCAGUGCUAUUGAGAGGACCCUCAAGAAUCAACCCAUCCAGUGGCUUUCCAAUGCUAAACUGGUACACUUUUGGGUUCUAUUUUUGAAUUUCUCUCACUUAGGAUACAACCCAUUAUCUGCCCCAAUCCCAGUCAUCCUGCUACCAGACAGAGCCUCAGAUGUGCAGCAUGACUGCUCCAUAUUUCUGGCGCACAUUCAGAACACCAUGCCUGAUUUGACUGAAAUAUCCUGGCCAGAUGUGGAACCUAUCUUCUUCAAGGAUGGGAGAAGCUUCAUCUAGAAUGGAAUCAGGGCUGGAAACACAUUCUAUGCUUUAGGUACCCCCUUUAUUUUGAGAUCCUCUAUGGGAGAAUAUCAUAUUGUCUGAACUCUAGUCUGACAUCUUAGGUAACAAUGUCUGGAUUAAGAGACAUAAUCACAAGACUCUGGAACCUCCCUAAAAAGGACCUCACACCAUGAUCAUGACCACACCAAUAGCUGUUAAAGUGGAUGUGGUCAGUACAUGGAUAUAACACUCUCACGUUAAGCCUGCGAGGAGACAGAAGAUGUAUUGUGAAAUAUUAAAAAAUACAUUCCAUACUAUCUCUGGCAAGUUACUGGUCGGCCUUGUUCUUAUCUCAUGAAGACUCUUUCACCCAGAGCUGCAAAAUCUCUCCACCCAGGCCGGUUCUCUCUGUGACACAGGAAUGGCUGGAGCUCCUAGUGUAUGGACCUCAGAAACAUCUCAAGGAUUUAAAAAACCCCAUCACUGAAAGGAGGGAUGAGAAGGCCAGGCUGACUCCAUGACAGACUUCAAUUUCGCAGUUAAGGAGACUAGGCCUAAGAAAUGGGCAAGUCCAGGCAAUUCACUUACUAAUAGAAACAAAACCCCAGGCUUCAGCCUCAUACACCAUGGUAUUUCCAGAAUUCCUAGAGAUAUAAUAAGAUAAAGCUCAU